AAGCCACAAGCUCUCUCUCUCUCAUGCCUCGCGCGCGCACGAAGUUGCCUCACAUUUCUUAAGAAGAGAGCCCCUCAUACUUGCUCAGUUCCCACCCAAAUUCAAAACCCAAUGGGAGGCUAACGACCACUUUCCAAGCCUUUGACAAAGUCAAACUUUAAUGCUCAGCCAUCCACAUAAACAACCAAUACUCAUAGGUAUAUUGAGCCUAAGCCUCAAUAUAAGGAACCUAGACAACCGCAAUUCUUAUAAAAGAAAAAACUAUUUA
This 268-nucleotide long non-coding RNA is filed under the name Phoenix dactylifera (date palm). RNAcentral's name for it is "long non-coding RNA (PDAC_LNC000704)". Lineage: Eukaryota; Viridiplantae; Streptophyta; Magnoliopsida; Arecales; Arecaceae. The record is from RNAcentral.